GACGAACGCUGGCGGCGUGCUUAACACAUGCAAGUCGAACGGUAAGGCCCUUUCGGGGGUACACGAGUGGCGAACGGGUGAGUAACACGUGGGUGAUCUGCCCUGCACUUUGGGAUAAGCCUGGGAAACUGGGUCUAAUACCGGAUAGGACUACGCGAUGCAUGUCGUGUGGUGGAAAGCUUUUGCGGUGUGGGAUGGGCCCGCGGCCUAUCAGCUUGUUGGUGGGGUGAUGGCCUACCAAGGCGACGACGGGUAGCCGGCCUGGGAGGGUGUCCGGCCACACGGGGACUGAGAUACGGCCCAGACUCCUACGGGAGGCAGCAGUGGGGAAUAUUGCACAAUGGGCGCAAGCCUGAUGCAGAGACGCCGCGUGGGGGAUGACGGCCUUCGGGUUGUAAACCCCUUUCAGCACAGACGAAGCGUAAGUGACGGUAUGUGCAGAAGAAGCACCGGCCAACUACGUG
RNAcentral lists this ribosomal RNA (464 nucleotides) under uncultured bacterium. RNAcentral's name for it is "partial 16S ribosomal RNA". It matches the Rfam family "Bacterial small subunit ribosomal RNA", at positions 28 to 507 of the family's 1533-position model. The record is from RNAcentral.